Molecule: ribosomal RNA, 562 nt
Filed under: uncultured organism
Description: bacterial SSU rRNA
Rfam family: Bacterial small subunit ribosomal RNA
Source: RNAcentral
GCUUGCUGGGGUACGUACAGUGGCGCACGGGUGAGUAACGCGUGGGUAAUCUGCCCCUGAAUCUGGGAGAGCGCGGCGAACGCGGUGCUAAUACCGGAUGACAUCGAAUUGACUACGGUUGAUUGGAUCACAGGUAGCCACUCCAUGGAAGCUACUGUAUGGGGAUGAGCCCGCGUACCAUUAGCUUGUUGGUAGGGUAACGGCCUACCAAGGCGACGAUAGUUAGCUGGUCUGAGAGGAUGAUCAGCCACGCUGGAACGGGAACACUGUCCAGACUCCUACGGGAGGCAGCAGUGAGGAAUAAUGCGCAAUGAGGGAAACCUUGACGCAGCAACGCCGCGUGAGUGAUGAAGGCUUUCGGGUCGUAAAGCUCUGUCAAGUGGGAAGAAAUCCCGGGAAGUGAACAGUUUUUCGGGUUGACGGUACCACUGAAGGAAGCACCGGCUAACUCCGUGCCAGCAGCCGCGGUAAUACGGAGGGUGCGAGCGUUAUUCGGAAUUACUGGGCGUAAAGGGCGCGCAGGCGGUCAUGUAAGUCAGAUGUGAAAGCCCGGGGCUUAACC